UACGAGGGGGGCGAGCGUUGUUCGGAAUUAUUGGGCGUAAAGGGUGCGUAGGCGGUUUGGUAAGUCUUUUGUGAAAUCUCUGGGCUCAACUCAGAGUCUGCAAGGGAAACUGCCGGGCUUGAGUGUGGGAGAGGUGAGUGGAAUUUCCGGUGUAGCGGUGAAAUGCGUAGAUAUCGGAAGGAACACCUGUGGCGAAAGCGGCUCACUGGACCACAACUGACGCUGAUGCACGAAAGCUAGGGGAGCAAACAGG
Molecule: ribosomal RNA, 253 nt
Filed under: uncultured bacterium
Lineage: Bacteria
Description: partial 16S ribosomal RNA
Rfam family: Bacterial small subunit ribosomal RNA
Source: RNAcentral